AUGGCGUACUUCGGCCAUGGUGCUGAAAAAAAGGGACCGGCAAAUCCACCACCCAGCUGCAUCCCACCACAAAAUGACGAGACGGUGAAGCCCGCGUGCCACCGCCGUGGUGCUGCAUCCUCGAGGGGGCGACGCAGCGCGCGGGGGAGGCGUUCGCUCAUCGUUACCGCCGGCGAUGCGCCGCGAUGCUUGUCGACGACCGUCUAUGCUGCGACGCAGCAACGCGUCCAUGGCCAGAGUGUUGUGAUGCAACCUGCUGAUGCUGCAAGUCGCAGGCGGCGGAGUUGCAUUGGAGCGCCCUCCGGGUCAUUGGAGCUCAGCCGUGGCUGCAAUGAAGCGCCGCCGGAGCUGCAGUUAUGCUCGCCGGAGCUCCAGUGA
This 378-nucleotide ribosomal RNA is filed under the name Triticum aestivum (bread wheat). RNAcentral's name for it is "partial small subunit ribosomal RNA". Lineage: Eukaryota; Viridiplantae; Streptophyta; Magnoliopsida; Poales; Poaceae. The record is from RNAcentral.